CUUGGCUGAAGAUCAGAGGGGAGGGGACGUGAAUUUCAGCUUUCUCUCUGGCUUCUGUGUUGUGGCAGAAGCAGUACGAUGGUGUGGUUCCAGGUUAGCUGUGGAGCCAGUGUUCGGAAUGUUCUGGAAGCCCUGGUCUCGGGUGCUUUUCCAUAGCAGACCAGUGCAGGCUGGUGAGUUCUGGCUCAUGAUCUCUGUGUGCCACUCCUUCUUCUCCCCUUUACGCUUCCAGCCUUUCCAGUGCCCUUCUGUUCACUUUCCACAUUCACCUCUCUCUGUGAGAAAUACCUGGAAGGUUUCUGUUUGCUUGACUGGGCCUUGAGUGACCUACAGAGAUAAUAACAGAGGUGACGGGACCUAGGGAGCCCAUGUGUCAACAUUCAGGAGACGACUCUUCAGCCCCAAGACCCUUCUAAGAGGUUGGAAACCCACACCGGAGGAUCUCCCAUGGCCUCCGGGCUUCUGAGGCUCUCUGCCUCUCCGAUGAAGCAAAACCAGACUCUGGCAACCACGGAGUGUGCGAGGGCUUGAGGGUCGGAGGGGACCGAGAAGCCCAGUCCAGGCUGCAGCCAGCCAAGAGGUCCGUCUUCCCCUUCCCAAAGCCAGAGAAGGUCUGGACCUGGACAGAGCGACACCGUGCCUGAGGGAAGGGGCUGCCCCGGGCCUGCCUUCCUGCGCGGUCGGGAGGAGAUGGGAGGGCUCACAGAGAGAGCAGUUCGGAUGGCAGAGGGGCACCCCCGGGGCCCCAACAAGGAAAGGUAGCUAUGCAAAUCCCGAGUACAUGACUUGAGGUCUCAAACUGGAAUCCUUCCCAAAGGGAUUGUUCAAAUCACCGCUCACCUGGAAAUGUGUACAAUCACUGUGUCGAUUAAAUGUUAAAGUAUUUCCAUCAUCAAAGACUGAUUUGUAUUUGGGAUGCACAGAAGUAGCAAAAAAAAAAAACUUUUAAAGCAGCAAACCACACCCGCGCAUGCGCGCGCACACACGUACACACGCGCACACACGCGCACUUUCUCCAGCCCACUCCUCUCAGACAAAGAGCAGCCGGAGCCAGGUCGCGCCCACCCUCUUCCCUUCGACCCAGGAGACAACACAAAGUCCCUCCAGUUCUGCGACACAGAAGGGUGCAGCCAGGGACGGGGGCUGCGGGGGGCCAGUUCCGGGCCUUAGUCAUCUCCACGCCUGGCAGGGCGCACCGUCAGCACCCGCAACCUUCUGGGACUUGGACAAACUCGGAGGAGCCCACAGGCACUAGGGAGCCCUCGGAGAGGGUGCGGGGGCUCGGGAAAGCAGCCCGGACCCAGCCGACACGCUGUGGCACGGACACCAUCGCUUGGAUUUCUAAUGAGCCAUUUGUUACCCAGCAUGCUUGGGCAGUCUUUACAGUGGUCGUCAGCAUCUUUCCAUGUUAUCAGCUUCCAGGAAGACGGAUCGUUAGUGGAAUAAAGGACAGGGCUACGGCAACCCCGGCACCUCGCCAACCCCACCCGCACUGCCACCCACGGCAAGCCGGUCAGUGCUCAAAACCCGAUGCCACACGGGGCUGCUCAGCACGGUGA
Long non-coding RNA from Fukomys damarensis (Damara mole-rat), 1559 nucleotides. Lineage: Eukaryota; Metazoa; Chordata; Mammalia; Rodentia; Bathyergidae. The record is from Ensembl.